UGAGCAGAGCCGCAGUAUCGCUCAGCCGCUCUCUCUCGCUAAAACCCCUCCGCCGAGACUGUGGCAACCACGUCAAGUAGUCCCCCCGGUCUCACUGCCGCGAGCCUUCGCUUUCUCAUCCCCUUGCGAGGGUUAGGACGAGCGAAAAACAAGCCCGGCGCGUUCUGGGAUUUGAAGGACGCUUCGGCCGGCGUGAAAAACGAAGUUGUGCGUGUAAAUAUGCUGUGUGUGAGGCGGGGGGAACGAGUCCCGGCCGCGGCGGCGGCAUACAGUCGACAAACGACGGAGUGAGAGAGCCGAAUAUCUCGUUUAGCGAGAGGGGAGGGGAGUGAGCGGGAAAACGCGGUUCGGAGCUGGGAACAGCCUUUCCCUCCCCCACCCCCACUCCCUAGCCGGGGGCGCUUCUCACUGAGUUUCAGAGGCGCCAAGCUCUGCCGAGCCUGGGAGCUUCGAGCCCGUCCUCUUUACACAGAGUAAAGGGGGCGCCUGCUCCCUGCCUUUCAUUUAGUCCUCCUCGCAAGCCGUGUGUAUGUGCCAGUUUCAGCCAGACAACCCCCACCCCACCCGACGCACACACUGAGGGCGCCCCAGUUUUCAGUCACGGGGCAUCCGCCUCAGAUUUCUGUUGCCCAACCUAACACGGACGUUUGCGGCGAAAUAAAUACCUGGGGAAACACAUACACGUUUUCACCCCUUCCCCAAUUAUUGCCGCACUACAAGAGCUUUAAAGUGUGGCUUUUGAAAAUAAGGCAGCAACCCCCCCACCCCACCGUGAAUCCUGGAAUUCACUUCAUAAAACACCUCAGCAAUAUCAAGAGCCCAACUGAGUUAAGAAUUGCCCCUUUAUGUUUUAUAAAGCAUUCUCUGACCUAUGAAACAACCAUCGUAUUAAGUACAGAGCUCCCUGGAAGCGGUGCACUUGGGUUUUUAUACUGUAAACUACCCUGUGGUCCUCAAAUGAAGGGUGAUAGAGAAAUAAAUAACUGCAGACACUGGACUAUAAGACCUUCAAAACUGUGAUAAGCCAGUCCUGCUCUAUUUGUGGGGGGCAUCUCCUGCACAUUGCCCUAAACUUUGGCUCCAAAGCCCUGCCCUGACAACAGCCCUGAAGCUGUGCCUGCGGUCACAACAUUUUUUUAGAGACAGAAAACGUUUCGUUGUAGACACCCUCUGGAUUAGGGGAAAUAUUCCUUCAUUUCUGUGGAUCUUUCCCUCAAGUGUACAGAUAUAACUAGAGCAGCAAAUUUGUCCUCUGAAAUAGUGAUGACGUCGCAGAAUUGAAAGCAGGACUGGAGUGAAGCAGGGAGAUGGGGAGCAAAGUUGGAAAGCAGGAAAGACCCUGCUUGUAGAUGAGAUAGGGGUGGGUGGGUUAAGAACAAAGGAAUCAGCAGCCUUUGGUGAUUAAUUUGCAGAAAAUAUGGACAGGAAGGGCACAGGAAUCAUAGGAAGAAGCUAGUGGCGCUGCUUCCAAUUCAGACAUUCAUUUCUUGCUGUGUUGCAUCUGGUUCUGAGCUCUCGUUCUGACAAGAGUGAAGGAUUUAAGAGGAAAUGCUGAAGGGAAAGGGGGAUUUGAAAAGUUGGUGGAUAUUUCAGGAGGAAGUGCUAACUAGAACUUGGGUGGGCAGCAAGAUUUGUAAAACUUUGGCCAGCUUUCAACAGAGAGCCAGUGACAUUGGCUCUGCUCAUAGACUCAUGCCCAAGGGCUUAUCAGUGGUGUCCAAAUUUUUUUCAAAGAGUGCCAGAUUUGAUGAAGUGAAGGGCUGUGGGGGCCGACCAAAGUUGUUGAGCUUUUCUAAGGGUUGGAGUUGUUGAGCUUCUUUUAGGAUUGAAGAUGUUGAGGUUUUUUUAGGAUUUUAGCCCAAGAUAUAAACUGCCACAGGGGCCGUAUUAAACCAACCCCAAAAUGAUUAAGCCCCUAAAACAGACUUUGGACAGGCCUGGCUUAGAUGGAGGCAAAGGGCUCUUUUAAAAAUGUCUCCACAGUACAAACUACAACAGCAGCUUUGGCAGAGCCCUUUCCUUACACAUCUCGGAGGCUCACUACCAUUUCCCAAUACCUUGGCUUGCUCGCAGGAGAGAGUCACCAAGGUGCAUAAUGAGGAGAGGGCCAUGCCAAAGCCUUCUUUGCUGUAUAUGCUGACAGAGAGUAGGUUAGAAAGCCUUUUGCUUGUGACUCAACUUGGAAGUAGCAGUGAGUGUCCUUGGGAUCAGAGGAUAUGCAGGAGACCAGAUGAAAAACUUUUAGGGGAUGACUGUGCCCCCCAGGUUUUCCUCUCCUAAAAUAUAUGUCAAUUAACACAUGGCUUACAAUUUCUAAAAGUAUUGUUUUUAAACAGGGCCGCAGAGCAGCUAAUGGGGCAACUGACAGAAUCGUUCCUAAUACACCUUCAUUCCCAUUGAUUCUGCAAAAGAGAAGUUCUGAGCUCUACUUCUAUGGCAUUUUUUCCACCAAAAUCAAAUCCAGAGAAGUCUUGCUUUGUCAAACAGUAAGUAUACAGUUACAUAGGUUCCUUCCUUUGUGGAAAUCACAUUCUGGCAGAACUACAGCAUAUAGCACACUUUUUCGGCCUUUAAACCAGCUUAUUUUUUUAAAAUGGGGUUUUAAAUGAUCUGUCUUUCAAAAGGAAAUAGUUUUCUCAUUACCCCUUUCCACUGGGUAUGUUAUUCCCACCCACAUGGAAUGAUAAUCCUGAGUCUCUUUCCCAGAUAAAGAAAAUUAAGAAUCUGGCUGGGCUUCUUGCACAUUUUACUUUGCAGUACACUCUGCAAAUCCUCACUCUGGAUUUCUACCAGAGCUUCGCAUCCUCCAAUUAAGCUAGCUGGGAGACAGGGGCAAAAACAGUGAUCAUUCUGAAGACUUGUUUUCUACUGAUUCAAUUUCUACAUCUCAGUUACCCAGUGUACCUAUUAACCCUGAGAAAGAGGGCAAAAUCCUAAGUAUUCUCAAGCUUAUUCUUGCUGUUUUUCUUAUCCCAUUUGUAGCCACAAAGGCUUCGCAUCCUCCUGUUAGUGCUGCUGAAUAGAGCAGAGGACUGAUGAGAAUUCUCAGGCCUUGCUCUGGUUUCCCCGCCCCCUCCAUUACCCCAUCCCCCCUCAAGGCUCCCAUAACUUGCAUCUCUCCUGUUAACAUUGAAGAGAGGGGAAUACAAGAAGCUCUGAUGGUCCCCCCCCCAGCUUUUUAUAUAUAUAUUCUCUCUACCAGUCAAAACCUAUAUACACAGCCCUGUCUAAUUACAAAACCCACAGCCAGCUUUGUUGUCACAUCUGACUGACACACACAGCCCAACUACUCAGCUCAACAGAAAACAAAAACAGAACUGCCUGCAUUUCACUUCUAUUUCCAGCGGUACCUUGGGCUGCAUACGCUUCAGGUUACAGACUCCGCUAACCCAGAAAUAGUACCUCGGGUUAAGAACUUUGCUUCAGGAUGAGAACAGAAAUCGUGCUCCAGUGGUGCGGCAGCAGCAGGAGGCCCCAUUAGCUAAAGUGGUGCUUCAGGUUAAGAACGGACCUCCGGAACGAAUUAAGUACUUAACCUGAGGUACCACUGUACAUUUAAUGGGCAUUGAUAGUUCUUUAUUUUUCUUCUUAUUAUCAUCCUCAAAUAUUCAGUUACUGCAUAGUUCUUCAGAUGCUUGAUUAGCGCCCUUUUAAAAAAGUUAAAUCUUUGUCAUUUUUUCUGGAUUGCAAAGUGUCUCUUUAACCUGGAGGUUUUCAACCUUUUUGUGUCCAGGGCUCCCCUGACCAACUACAUUCUUUCUGCCUCCUCUCCUCUCUCCUUGGGAGUCCUUUGGGCAGCAGCUGCCACCACCACUGGUCUCUGAGUGGCCCCCAUCCUAUAAAGAGUUUUAUACCAAUAAAGAGAAGUGCCUCCUUAUACCACCCCACAAGGGCCUGGGAAGAGGCUACCCCCAGCCUUCGUGGUCUGACAGAGACUGGCCAAAGGUGAACCUAACUCAACUUGGGAGGCAGCAGUGGCAACAGCAGUGCCAGGCAUUCAGCUCCCAGGCAGGAAUUGCACACGGCAAGCAUUUUAAUUGCACACUUCUUAUUUUUAUUCACACACACACAUACACACACAGAGUUACCAGUGUGUUUUCCCUAUACCCCUUGUUGAUCAUUGAGGCUACCCACUUACUUGGGAAUAAGGUUGGAGAAUACUGACCUGGGACUUUGGAAAUACAUUGCACUGACAUACAGUCAUACAUUGGGUUACAGACGCUUCAGGUUCCGUUUUUUCGGGUUACGGACCGCCGAAACCCAGAAGUACCGGAACAGGUUACUUCCGGGUUUUGGUGGCCGGCAUGCGCAGAAGCGCUGAAACGCAACCCGCGCGUGUGCAGACACGCCGCUGUGGGUUGUGAACACUGUGGGUUGCCAAUGUGCAUCCCGCAAGGAUCACGUUCGCAAAGUAUUGGAAGACACAAGAUCUACCCACCCUGGAAGAAUGGCAGAUGAAGGUGAUUGACUAUAUGGAACUGGCGGAAAUGACUGGCAGAAUCCGAGACCAGGGAGAAGAGUCGGUGGAAGAAGAUUGGAAGAAAUUUAAAGACUAUUUACAGAAAUAUUGUAAAAUUAAUGAAUGUUAGAAUGAUGUUGGAUAGAAAUUAAGUGGUUUUUAGCUGAAAUACUAUAAGGGAAUAUGAAAAAUGGAUUACUAACAGGUAAAGAUUUAAUGUUACAAUACUUUAAGAUUAAGGAUUAGGAUAAACAAAGAGGGGAAGGAUUUGCUGAACCAACAAACUGAACUGGAAUACAAAAAAGGGAGGCAUGAGGAGGUCCUGGAAACAAGCUAAUGAAAAAUAAGUAAUGGAAAGAUUGAGUUGUUUUUAACUUUUUUUUUUUUUUUUACUUUGUAAUAUUUUGAAAACCUUAAUAAAUAUCUUAUAAAAAAAAAAUACAAAAAGGGAGGUGUGAGGAGGUCAGGGAAACAAGUAAAUGAAAGACAAGACAUGGAAAGAUUGAUUUGUUUUUAAGUGUUUUUACUUUUCUGUAUUUUGUAUUUUUUCUUUUCUUUUUUUCUCUUUUUCCUAUUUUUGUAACCUUUUUUGAAACUGUAAUAAAUAUCAUUUUA
Podarcis lilfordi (Lilford's wall lizard) is the source of this 5074-nucleotide non-coding RNA. The record is from the annotation of a GenBank genome assembly. Lineage: Eukaryota; Metazoa; Chordata; Lepidosauria; Squamata; Lacertidae.